GUAGGUGAACCUGCGGAAGGAUCAUUACCGAGUUAGGGUGCCUCGUCGCGCCCGACCUCCAACCCUUUGCUUACUUGACCUAUUUUGUUGCUUCGGCAGGCCCGCCGCCCGGAAACGGGUGGCCGCCGGGGGCAUUUCACCGCCCCGGGCCCGCGCCUGUCGAUGGCCCUAUUAAAACUCUUGUCAAAACGUGUCGUCUGAGUUUAUCUAAACAAAUAAAAACCAAAACUUUCAACAACGGAUCUCUUGGUUCUG
This 255-nucleotide unclassified non-coding RNA is filed under the name rhizosphere metagenome. RNAcentral's name for it is "partial ribosomal RNA internal transcribed spacer region". The record is from RNAcentral.